CUUAAAAUUAAUUCCAAAUCUCCUUUGAGAACUCAACUGACAUCUCGAGUCUCGCCUCUAUCAUAUGAUUCCAAUGAGCCUGCUAUUACUUCUUCUUCUUUUAACCAGAUUCGAUUAUCCGGAUUCGAUGACAACUCCCCAACCUUAAAUAGAGACCUUUGUUUGUUCCCUAUUUUAAUUGCUCUCCUCAAGUUAAUUUCUCCUCACUGCUGUAUCAAAAGAAUUGAUGCCUAAGAAGUAAGAAGUGUCUGUUUUCCUUUUUCAUCGCUACAAAGUCUUGUUGCUAAAUAUUUGUUGUUCGCUUGCUGCUCUUGUUUAUCGUUACCGAUCGUUCGUUGAAUCAUGGCAUUGUUGAGGCUCUAAUUUGUUCAAAAGAUUGGCCUUUUGGAAUUAAAGGUGAUGAAGAAUUGUGUUUAGAAGAGCUUACCGAUGAUAUUAUGGAAGAUGCUAGCAAGAACAAUAAGCAUGAAUCGAUGGAGGCAUAGUUUUUAAUGGACUUUUUGAUGUCACAAGUUUGAAACAUUUUAGUACUAGUUUAUGUCAUGUUUGUCGUGUUGUUUUGAGUUAAUUUUAGUCAUGUUUGUCGUGUUUUGCUGACUUUUUAAGAGAAAUUAUCGAUGAAAUGAUUAUUUUAUGUU
Long non-coding RNA from Lactuca sativa (garden lettuce), 638 nucleotides. RefSeq lists it as uncharacterized. Lineage: Eukaryota; Viridiplantae; Streptophyta; Magnoliopsida; Asterales; Asteraceae. The record is from RefSeq and is a predicted model, not a curated record.